This 6947-nucleotide long non-coding RNA is filed under the name Solanum tuberosum (potato). RNAcentral describes it as "long non-coding RNA (STUB_LNC010812)". Lineage: Eukaryota; Viridiplantae; Streptophyta; Magnoliopsida; Solanales; Solanaceae. The record is from RNAcentral.
CCCCAUUUCACCAUUCUACAUAUUCUUUUGAAUUCUGGUUUUGCAUUUCGCCAUUCUCCGAGGAAGUGCUUUGGUCAUUUCCUGCAAUUGGUUGUUGAUAUCCUCGUUGGUCGCAAGAGUAUUCUCAAAAAAUUUAUCAUCCUCCUUAGUCCGAAAGAGGUUAUUGCAUGUCCGAUCGAUGUUCGUUUUCUUUUGGAUCAACAAGGAAAGCUUUAACAUGAAAAAGGUAAGCUCAACAAGAGGAUUAAGAAAACGGAGGAGAGUCAAUAUAUGACCAAAAACUACCAUAAAUAUCGGGCAUCUAAAAUAAGAUUUUUUGUACCCUCUAACACUUAGUAAUAAAAAACAAUCGCGGCAACACGCAUUCUUUUAAUCAGUUAUGGAUACUAAGAAAAGUAAUGAGGGACUAGUAAAAGGAACAAACAUGAAGAUACAUUUGAUACACUACUAGAGAAGUCCCCAGAGAUACGAAGCAUAUUAUGAGAGCAUUUGCAUUCUUUACCUUUUCUAUCGAACUGAAGGUUUUGUAAUAAGAAAAAAGAGUACAAAUAAAAAAACUAUUCAUCUCAAGAUAUGAAAAAAAUAUAUCAUUGAGUAUAUACUUUUGUUCUUGUUAAUGAUGCAAACAAAAAAACAUCUAUGGCCUUGUACCACAUAAUGGGAAAGAAAUCUUGUCAAUCCAACAUUUGUUAUCAAAAUAGAAGGAAAAACUCAUAUUCCCUUGUAACACAAUCUAACCACUUAAAACUAGGGACUGUGCUAAGACAAAAUAUAUCUUGGACAAGAAAUCAAAAGGAAAGCUAUACAAAUUCAUGUUUUUCCUUUUUAAGAAACAUUGAAUUCUCUAUACAUUAACUUUCAACAAUGGAAACCAUGUUAAAGAAGAGUCCCUAGAAAAUGUUGACACAAUUUUCUCUCCUGAGAUAGAAACAAGCAGAAUCUGAUGAUAUUCAAGUAGGUCAGUAUCACUUUGCAUCUCUUCAGAAUCUACACCAAAAACAACAUAUAAAUCAACCAUUUGUGAUUGAAUACACAUUCUCUUGUGUCGUCAUUACCUUUAUACAUCAUGAAAUAACAAAUUAUUGAUCAUGUGAAUGGAAGAUUUACAAAACCAACAAAUAACAACAUACAUAGUGUAAUCUCACAAGUGAGUCUGGGGAUGGUAGAGUGUACGUAGACAUUACCCCUACCUUGACAGGUAGAGAGACUAAUUCUGAUGCACACUUGGCUCAAAGAAAACCAUAUAAAGCGGAUCGAGAAAUAGAAGAUUUACAAAACCAACAACAACUUCAUAUCCAGCGAAAUCCCACAAGUGAGGUAUGGGGAGGGUAGAGUGUCUAUAGACCUUUACCCUACCUUGGGAGGCAGAGAGGUCAUUUCUCAUUGACCCUCAACUCAAAGAAAAGCAUAUCAAAUCGAAAAAGGAAAUUUUACCUAACCAUGACAAAACAAUUUAAAGGGAAAGCCAUGAAAGAUCUUGCUUUUUCCCUUCAAAUAACUAAUUAUAUCUCUAAAAAAUAUCUUUCCUAAACACAAAACAUGUUAACGAAGAGUACCAAAAAUGAUAGCACAACUAGUAAAAUCUGAUGAUCACAAAGCACAGUCAAAGCAAAAUUCUAAGUGACUCAAUCUACAGUUAUAAGUUGUAUCACCUAUAAAAACAAGCAUUCAACCAAAAAGGAAUCAAUCAAUAAUUUCAAGUAUAUUUAUGUGUGUGAUUCCUCUUUGGUUGAAUUCUUAUUUCCAUAGGUGAUGCAACUUAUAAUUGUAGAUUGAUUCAAUUAGAAGUUUGCUUUGAUCGGUGCUUUGUGAUCAUCAAGUUCUGUUAGUUGUGCUGACAUUUUUUGGUACUCUUCUUUAACAUGCUUUGUGGUUAGGAAAGUUAAUUUUUAGAGAUUUGAUUAGUUCUUUGAAGGGAAAAAGUAAGAUCUUUCAUGUCUUUCCCUUUAAGAUAUUUUAGCAUGGUUCAGUAAAGCUUUCCUUUUUCGAUAUGCUUUGAUAUGUUUUUCCUUGAGUUGAGGGUCAGUCAGAAAUGACCUCUCUACCUCCCAAAGUAGGGUAAGGUCUAUAGACACUAUACCCCUACCCAUACCUCACUUGUGGGAUUUUACUAGAUAUGAUGUUGUUGUUAGUUUUCUAAAUCUUCCCUUUCUUGGAUCUAUUUUAUAUAUUUUUCUUUGAGCCAAGUGUGUAUCAGAAAUAGCCUCUCUACCCCUCAAGUUAGUGUUAAGGUCUACGUACACUCUACCCUCCCUGACUCACUUGUGGGAUUACACUUGGUAUGUUGUUGUUUGUUGGUUUUGUAAAUCUUCCAUUCAAAUGAUCAAUAAUUUGCUAUUUCAUUAUGUAUAGAGGUAAUGACGACACAAGAGAAUAUGCACUUAAUCAUAUAUGGUAGAUUUAUAUAUUGUUUUUGGUGUAGAUUCCGGCGAGAUGUAAAGUGAUACUAACCUACUUGAAUAUCAUGAGAUUCAUCUUGUUUCUAUCUUAGCAGAGAAAAAUUGUGUCAACAUAUAUGGUAGAUUUAACAUGGUUUCCAUGGUUGAAAGUAAAUGUAUAGAGAUUUGAAUUUCUCAAAAAGGAAAAACAAGAUAUUUUUAUAGCUUUCCUUUUGAUUUCUUGACAAAAUGACGUAGUAUAGGAACUAAUUAAUUAGGAAAAGACCCAACUCACCUUGAAAUUUAAGUGACAAGCGACCACUAAUGGACCCAGUCGACGGACCGUGGUCUGACCCACGACCCGUCUUGGUGGAUCGUCAUUUGGUCAUCAGAGACUCUAAUUUGGGGCUUUGAACCACAGACCUAGAUAACGAAUCGUGGUAUGACCUAUGGUCCAUAGGCCUGGCCAUAGUUAUUGGCUCUCAGACCAUAGCUAGGCAGGCUAUCCACGGACCACACCUAUCGUCCGUGGUCCUAUCGACAGUCCGUGGGUGGCCGGCGUGGUUUGGCACCUGCAACAUCUAGAAAGCUGCUAUUUGGUCUUUUUGAAUACGAGGUGUUACAACUUGUGACCCAAAUCAGUGGAAUUUGCUUGUUGACUAGAGUUUCACUUCCUCAGAAACUCUCUAUGCUUUUUGACUAUUUUAUGAAAUCUGAUAGUAAGAUAGGCCAUUUCCUCAUAAUAUUUUGAUAGGUCACUUGGUGAUGGUUUUAGUUCCAAGAACUUGCCUUUCCUUCAGUCCUUUUUGGAAUUUUUUUGUUGCUUUUUUAGUUCGUAUAUUUGAAGAUUCUCAAUCAACUCGUCCAUGGUAAGAGUCUUCAGGUUCCUAGCUUCAGUAAUAGCAUUUACUUUGCUUUACCAUGACUUGGGAAGGACUUGGUGAAUUUUACGAACCUUCUUGCUUGGAUGAAUAGUUUCAUUAAGACAUCGGAGCUCAUUGGUGAUGGAAGUGAAACUGGUGUGCAUCUCAUUAAUGUUCUCUCCUUCUUUCAUGUUUAACAUUUCAUAUUGAGUAGUGAGCAUGUCCAUCUUUUAUUCUUUCACCUGGAUGUUUCCUUCAUGGGUUAUAUUCAGACAGUCCUAGAUCUCUUUGGUUGUUUCAUAUGCUGAGAUCCUGUUGUAUUCAUGAACACCAAUUCCACAAACCAGUAUAUUCUUGGCCUAAUGGUUCUUUUGUUAUUUUCUUUCUUCUAGCUUCGUCAUAUUCUCUUUUGUUUUUAGGAACCACCCUAGUUAUCUCUCAUUCAUUGAUAUCCUUAAUGGGAACAUGAGGUCCAUCAAAAGUUAUUUUCUAUAGUUCAUUGUCAUCUUUUAUAGUAUAAUCAUGCAUUCUAGUCUUCCACUACAUGUAGUACUGUCUAUUAAAUCGAGGGAGACAUGUAGUAGAUUGUCCUUCUUCUAAGCUUGGUGGGGCUGCCAUCAUUGCAAGAUCCUUUCUUGAUGUUAUUAAGAUAUAAAGUACCGCUCUAAUACCAAUUUAUGAGAUGUGAUAUUCCACUGUGUAAUAAGGGGCAACGUUGAGGAUACACUGGUAAUGCAAUAGAAGAGACUAAACUAUAAAGUAAACACAACAGGGAGUUUUAUGUGUAAACCUUCUUGCUCAAGCGAGAAAAACAGCAACAUGUCACAAGAUUUUUUAACUGUUUUCACUAUUUUCAAGCAACAAGUGUAUACAGGCUCCAAAUGCAUAUACAAAGAUUAAACUCUUAGUCUCCCAACCUAUAAUAACCAUAUUACAAUAAGAGCCAAAGUAAUACAUCUAUUGCCCACUAUAUUAACUAACUCUAAUUAAUAGAGACUUCAAUCACACACCACAAAAUUACCUCUAAUUAUGUUCAUGUGUUAACUUACCACACACUGAAUGUGUUCCUUUAUACAUUUGGAACAAAUCUUACAAGUUUACCACAUCACAAGCAUUUCGUAACAAACAACCAAAUGAUGCACUUGAUAACUCUAUCAGGUCCCUUGAGGUGUGUGCUGAAAGCUUGAGUUCUUCAAAGACAAAGUUUACACUUGUUGUUUUCUUUGAAUGUUUUGAGUAGGUUGUUUCAUGUCACUGAAGAUAUAUUAUCCUUUGAAAAAUACAACCUAGUGUCUUCUGAUUGGUUGAGUACAAUUGUCUCGUUCCUUGUGCCCACAAACUGUGUUAGAAGUGACUACUUUUACCAUUAUUCACCAACUGACUUCAUAAACGUGAUCAACUGUGGGGCCAGAUUGCAUGUUUGUGAGCAUCGUCAAAUAUUCUAAUACUAACAGUUUAACAUACCCAAAAAAUCUUGCAACACUAUUGACCAAAUUCCACAGGACUUCAUUUGGGGAUCUUCUUCCCACAAGAGAAAGCUCCAUUACAUUUCUUGGGAAAAAGUGAAAUCCCCUAUAGAAAAUGGUGGCCUGGGCUUAAUAUCUUCGGAAGAAAAAAACAAAACGCUUCUCACCUGGUUAAUUACUUUCCGUUCUCUUGGAUCUUAAAACUCAACACUUUGGCAAAAAUAAAAAUGUUCAUGUGGUUGUGUUCCCAAGAUCGAGUCCCAACUAGCGCUUACCUUCACCACAUUGGCAUCGAUACUGACCCUCCGUGUCCUAUAUGUCACCUCAAUAGCGAAUCAAUUACCCACAUCUUCGUACAAUGUAAUAUAGCUAAAAAAUUCUAGUACGCCUUAGGCAUUAAUAUUUCCCAGUUACCUCCCCAAUAUGACCACAAUUACAUGCCCUCAAAAGGUUGAAACCUCCAGACACUGACCACCCUUACCACUGGAUAGAUUGAUUUCUCUUUGCAUUAUGGAAUAUAUUGUUAAACAUGAAUGAUAAUAUCCAUAAUGACGAUUCGGCCUUUCCAUUGGAAUUUGUAGUAAGGAACAGAACCACGGAACACAUGCAACAUACUCAUACCCUUAUUCACCAUAUCGCCACCACCACCAUUCAUAUUCAGUGGUUACUGCCCCUGAACGGUUCAUACAAAAUAAAAACUGAUGGUUCCUUCUCUAAGAACAAAAGAAGACGCGAACUUGUGGUCUCAUAACUGAUGUAUGUGGUAACUGGAUUGGGGGAUUCUACAAAGGGUGAUACGGGCAUAAUAAUAUCAUGACAGAGCUGGAAGCUUUUGUCACUGGCCUAAAUAUGGUCGAUGCUCAUAAUCUCCUACCCUUAGAAACUGAAACGGACAUGACUGACAUCUUAGAAUACUUAGAACAUCCUCAAGCAACUUAUAAUUGUAUAACUGCAAUUUGCAGGUUAACUAUGAAGAAGUUGGCGAGUCAAGUGGUCCACCAUAGCUUUUGCCAAGCUAAAAAAGUAGCAAACGUUUUUUGAAGAUUAGGUUCCAAGCUAAUAAUGACCAAAAUGCCACACUUUUUGUUAACUCCUCCUGAAGCUGUAGAAGCAAGCCUCAUCAAAGCAUACCAAGUUGGAGCUCUAUCCACUAAACUAGUAGUAUGGUCUACAUGUAAUAAGUUAGCCCGUUUUGGGAAUCUAUCUGUAAUCUCUAGUACUAGUAGCAACAAUGUAACUUCCGCUUAACUAUAUAUAAUAUAUCCAUUUUUUAUCAAAAAAUAUAUAUCAUUUAUAUAUUCAUUGAUGGAAAUAAUAUUGAAGUUUCAUUUUAUUGGUUUCCUUAUAUGAAUUUUUUGUUUAAGAGAAUGAAAACUCAAUUAAGCUUUUCUCUAAUUCUUUUGUUUUCCUUCAUUGUUUGAACAGUCUAUACUGCCUCAAUUUUCUCAAUAAUUUCAGCCCAUCAAUUUUUCAAAAUUAGAAAAAGAAAAAGAUAUUAUUCCCUCGGUCUCAAUUUAUAGAGCACAUUUACAUUUCCAGUCUUCAUACACAAUGCUAUUUUAAAUAUUUUUUUGUCUCUACUAGUGUAGAACCUGUAGAAAACAAUUUUAUUUACCAUUUUCUGGUAAAUAAGAAUGCACAACAGUCAGCAGCUAGCUGCAACAAACUUAUAUCUAAACUGCAAUUUAAGAUGAUAGAACAAACUUGUUAAAAAUGUAUAUAAUACAAUUUAGUGUGCGAUAGUUGAAAGAAGAAACACAAUAUUACUAAUUUAAAAAACAAAUUGUGUCAAAGGAAUUAGACUCAUUCAUGCUUACACAUCCAAAAAAGUGAGAAACUUACAUUAAUUUGGGUUCUCCAACUAGUGGCGGAUCCAGGAUUUUCAUUAAGGGGGUUCGAAAAAAAAGAGCAGUGCUUAAGAUUUGAGGUUUGAAUCCCUCAACAACUAAACCAACCUCUAAUCUUAUAUUCAGGACAUUCAAAAUAAAUAUAUAAACAUAAAAAUUCUUUAAAAUACCUUAAAUAUACAACAUAAUGCAUCUGCGGUAUGUUAUUUUCACACCAUUGUUUCCUCAUUAGAUUGCAAAAAUGUAGACCAGAUCCAGGCAAUUUUUAAUUCAAUCAUAACAAACCGAAUGGCUUCUCUCCAUCUCACAUGCCCUAGUAUGACUGAUCCAAUAGUCCUCACUUAAACUAGUCUUCCUCAAUAGUUUGCUUUGAAAUUUCAGUCUUUUAGAAAG